UUACAUCUUAAGCACUUAGGCCACAUUUAUGCCACUAGAGAUAUGGUAGGGUGGCAUAAGGUGGCCUAACCUAUCCUACCCAGUGUUUGGCAAACAAUUUUUUUGUGUUUGGAAACAAAACUUUUAUUGGUAGUAAGACAUUACUCAUCCCAUGAUGGGUGGUAUUAUUCACCCCAUGAUAGCUGAAGAAAAAAGUACUACCAGAAUAGUCUAUGAUAUUUCCUAAAUAUCAUUUAUUUUCUUUCCUUCUUUUUCUUCAUUUUCCUUUUAUUCUCUUUCACAACUUUCUCCUUCCUAUCUCUCUCCUCACACAACUUCAAAGUGUACCAGAAAGCAUUUCUGUUUCUUCUGGGGUCGAUUUGACAAUUUUUUGGGUUAUUUGGAAAGAGAGAAAUUUUAGAAUUUUUGAAGGUAAAAAAUAUCAGUAAAUAGGUUGAGAU
RNAcentral lists this long non-coding RNA (440 nucleotides) under Carica papaya (papaya). RNAcentral describes it as "long non-coding RNA (CPAP_LNC000016)". Lineage: Eukaryota; Viridiplantae; Streptophyta; Magnoliopsida; Brassicales; Caricaceae. The record is from RNAcentral.